Molecule: long non-coding RNA, 407 nt
Filed under: Homo sapiens (human)
Lineage: Eukaryota; Metazoa; Chordata; Mammalia; Primates; Hominidae
Description: HSALNT0343724
Source: RNAcentral
CUCGGGCCCGGCGCGCUGCAGCACGUCCCGGAGCCUGGCCUCCGACAGCUCCACGUGGCCGCGCAGGUCCUUCAGGAACAUGCGGCCGCCGUGGGCGCACAGCACCUUGAAACGGGGUCUCCUCAUGUUGCCCAGGCUGGUCUCGAACUCCUCAAGCGAUCCACCUGCCUCAGCCUCCCAGAGCACUGGAAUUACAGGCGUGAGCCACCCCGCGGGGCCUGCUGAGCUUUAUUGGAAAGUGGCUAGUCCGAAUUGAGAUGUGAUAUAAGUGUGAAAUACACACACUAGAUUUUGAGGACUGAGAAUGAGAAAAAGAAUGUAAAAUAUCUCACUAACUUUAUAUGAAUCACAUGUUAAACAUAAUAUUUUGGAUAUAUUUGGAUAAAUAAAAUGUUAUGACAACUUCA